Molecule: long non-coding RNA, 1200 nt
Filed under: Taeniopygia guttata (zebra finch)
Lineage: Eukaryota; Metazoa; Chordata; Aves; Passeriformes; Estrildidae
Description: lncRNA (ENSTGUG00000029489.1)
Source: RNAcentral
AUGCGGCUGCUCCAGCCCGGCCCCGGCGGCGAUCGCGGCGCUUUUGGGGAUUCCGAGGGGAAAUUCCUCAUCCCGGUCCCGCUGCCACCGCCGGGGGGGCGCGGGGGGGUCCCGCAGCGCGAGGUUUGUGCGGCCGUGGGGUUCGUGCUGCGGGAGCUGCUGGGCUGCGGCUGCGAGCCCGAGGGGGGGACAGGCGAUUCCCGAGGGGAAUUCGGGGAUUUGGGGACACCCGGGAGUGCGGGGGAGCCAUCACCGGGAGCCCAGUGUCACCUGGAGGGGGGGACAGGCGAUUCCCAGCGGGAAUUCGGGGAUUUGGGGACACCCGGGAGUGCGGGGCAGCCGUCACAGGGAGCCCAGUGUCACCUGGAGCGGGGGACAGGCGAUUCCCAGCGGGAAUUUGGGGAUUUGGGGACACCCGGGAGUGCGGGGCAGCCAUCGCCGGGAGCCCAGUGUCACCUGGAGCAGGGGACAGGCAAAUCCCGAGGGGAAUUGGGGGAUUUGGGGACACCCGGGAGUGCGGGGCAGCCAUCACCGGGAGCCCAGUGUCACCUGGAGCGGGGGACAGGCGAUUCCCAGCGGGAAUUGGGGGAUUUGGGGACAGCGGGGGAUGAACCGGAGAUGCUCCCGGCUCCCUCGGAGCCGCCACCGGGAGCCCGUUGUCACCCAGAGGGGGUGACAGGCGAUUCCCAGCGGGAAUUUGGGGACGCGGGGACACCGGGACCGGGCUCCAAGCGUCGCCUCCCCGAGGGGGUCCCUCCCGGGGCGGGGGUCCCGCCCGCAAAGCGGCCCCGGGGCCCCGCGGGCCCGUCCCGGUGGAGCUGCUGCGUGUGGUACCGGGUGUGGCGGGGCCGCCGCCGCCUCCGCCGCCGCCUCCGGCCCCGGGAGGGCUCCGGGGGGACUCCGGGCACCGAGGGGAACCGGGGAGAUCAAAGUCUUGAGGGUCCUGGAGGGGCUCAGAGUGCCGGAGGGGUUGGGGAUCCCGAGGGGGUUGGGAGUCCCGAGGGGGUUCGGGAUCCCGGGGAUGCUCAGGGUCCCGGGGGGGUUGGGGGUCUCGGGGGUCCCGGGAGCUGCCCCCUGGCCCUGGAGCGAGCCGUGACCGAGGCCAUUGUCCGAGGGGACACCGGGACUCCGCCCGGGCCCCCCCCGGAGCCGCUGCUCCGUUUCCAGCUCAGCGCCCGCCCGGGGGGGGUCGCGCCGUGA